RNAcentral lists this ribosomal RNA (253 nucleotides) under uncultured bacterium. RNAcentral's name for it is "partial 16S ribosomal RNA". It matches the Rfam family "Bacterial small subunit ribosomal RNA", at positions 524 to 776 of the family's 1533-position model. The record is from RNAcentral.
UACGGGGGGAGCAAGCGUUGUUCGGAAUCACUGGGCGUAAAGGGCGUGUAGGCGGUCAGGUAAGUGGAAUGUGAAAUCCCUCGGCUCACCCGAGGACCUGCAUCCCAAACUGCCUGGCUUGAGUAUGGGAGAGGAUGAGGGAAUUCCUGGUGUAGCGGUGAAAUGCGUAGAUAUCAGGAGGAACACCGGUGGCGAAGGCGCUCAUCUGGCCCAAUACUGACGCUGAAGCGCGAAAGCUAGGGGAGCAAACGGG